GAUGAACGCUGGCGGCGCGCCUAACACAUGCAAGUCGAACGAUUAAAGCACCUUCGGGUGUGUAUAAAGUGGCGAACGGCUGAGUAACACGUGGGCAACCUGCCCCUUUCAUUGGGAUAGCCACGGGAAACCGUGGAUAAUACCGAAUACUCCGAGACUUCCGCAUGGAAGACUCGAGAAAGCUCCGGCGGAGAGGGAUGGGCCCGCGGCCUGUUAGCUUGUUGGUGGGGUAACGGCCUACCAAGGCAAUGAUGGGUAGCUGGGUUGAGAGACCGACCAGCCAGAUUGGGACUGAGACACGGCCCAGACUCCUACGGGAGGCAGCAGUGGGGAAUCUUGCACAAUGGGCGAAAGCCUGAUGCAGCGACGCCGCGUGCGGGAUGAAGGCCUUCGGGUUGUAAACCGCUUUCAGCAGGGACGAGGCGAAAGUGACGGUACCUGCAGAAGAAGCCCCGGCUAACUACGUGCCAGCAGCCGCGGUAAUACGUAGGGGGCAAGCGUUAUCCGGAUUCAUUGGGCGUAAAGCGCUCGUAGGCGGUCUGUUAGGUCGGGAGUUAAAUCCGGGGGCUCAACCCCCGCUCGCUCUCGAUACCGGCAGACUUGAGUUUGGUAGGGGAAGGUGGAAUUCCUAGUGUAGCGGUGGAAUGCGCAGAUAUUAGGAAGAACACCAGUGGCGAAGGCGGCCUUCUGGGCCAUAACUGACGCUGAGGAGCGAAAGCUAGGGGAGCAAACAGG
RNAcentral lists this ribosomal RNA (735 nucleotides) under uncultured Atopobium sp. RNAcentral describes it as "bacterial SSU rRNA". It matches the Rfam family "Bacterial small subunit ribosomal RNA", at positions 28 to 776 of the family's 1533-position model. Lineage: Bacteria; Bacillati; Actinomycetota; Coriobacteriia; Coriobacteriales; Atopobiaceae. The record is from RNAcentral.